UGACGUUAUCACCAUUGAAGCUUGCAUUUCUUGGUUAGGCAAAGAAGAAGCUGUCUUCUGUGGCUAUUCAUUGGUAUAAUUCCAAACGCCUGGCACAUAAAGAACAGAAGUACUUCCUCUUGAUUUUGUAACAAAUUGGCAAAAAGCAGAAACUCCAUUUUGUUUCAACAUCCACGGCUUGAACUUUUCCUCCACAGUAGGGAC
This 204-nucleotide unclassified non-coding RNA is filed under the name Hevea brasiliensis (rubber tree). Lineage: Eukaryota; Viridiplantae; Streptophyta; Magnoliopsida; Malpighiales; Euphorbiaceae. The record is from RNAcentral.